GACGAACGCUGGCGGCGUGCUUAACACAUGCAAGUCGAACGGAAAGGCCCUGCUUUUGUGGGGUGCUCGAGUGGCGAACGGGUGAGUAACACGUGAGUAACCUGCCCUUGACUUUGGGAUAACUUCAGGAAACUGGGGCUAAUACCGGAUAGGAGCUCCUGCUGCAUGGUGGGGGUUGGAAAGUUUCGGCGGUUGGGGAUGGACUCGCGGCUUAUCAGCUUGUUGGUGGGGUAGUGGCUUACCAAGGCUUUGACGGGUAGCCGGCCUGAGAGGGUGACCGGCCACAUUGGGACGGAGAUACGGCCCAGGCUCCUACGGGAGGCAGCAGUGGGGAAUAUUGCACAAUGGGCGGAAGCCUGAUGCAGCAACGCCGCGUGCGGGAUGACGGCCUUCGGGUUGUAAACCGCUUUCGCCUGUGACGAAGCGUGAGUGACGGUAAGGGGUAAAGAAGCACCGGCUAACUACG
RNAcentral lists this ribosomal RNA (466 nucleotides) under uncultured bacterium. RNAcentral's name for it is "partial 16S ribosomal RNA". It matches the Rfam family "Bacterial small subunit ribosomal RNA", at positions 28 to 505 of the family's 1533-position model. The record is from RNAcentral.